This 234-nucleotide unclassified non-coding RNA is filed under the name Hevea brasiliensis (rubber tree). Lineage: Eukaryota; Viridiplantae; Streptophyta; Magnoliopsida; Malpighiales; Euphorbiaceae. The record is from RNAcentral.
CCGGAUCCAAAGCUCAAAUCGCCCGCAGGUAUAGGAAGAACCUUGGCAUCAACAAUAGGAUCUGAGACAGGAUCAGUUGGAAUCUCAUGGGCAGACUCACGAAGAAUAGCAUUAAACAUCGCCACAUCUAGCCUGGAAACACACUGUUCCAUAACCAUCCUUGCAAUAACAGGUAGACAACCACACUCAUGACCGCUUGCUCGGACAGGACAAAGUCGUUGAAAAGCAUCCUGG